Long non-coding RNA from Nylanderia fulva, 1840 nucleotides. RefSeq lists it as uncharacterized. The record is from RefSeq and is a predicted model, not a curated record. NCBI's taxonomy places the organism in Eukaryota, Metazoa, Arthropoda, Insecta, Hymenoptera, Formicidae.
GUACUACAAUAUCACGUAUUGGUUUUGUACUGUUACCAUACGGUUACUCCGUAUGCUGCCAUCUCGUGGCGGCACACUAAUAGUACAGUAGCGGUAUUUUGUGCAGGAAUCGCACGCUUGGUUAUCUGGGUCCCGAGAGGAGAAAACAUACCCGGGAGAGAGAGUUCAUAACCUAAUCCUUGCAAAGUGUCACUUUAGCAGUGCAGUGGUCUCACAAAUAUACUCGUUUGGAUAGUAAAUAAUUAGUUUACAUGAACAGACCGUAAUAAUUGUGCAAGUGUAAAAGGUAACAUAGACUUUAUAUAUUGUUGAUAGCAAUAGUAAAGAAAUCCAAGAUAUUUAACAGUAUGUAUAUGGAGUAAAAAGCACACCACCCGGAAACAGGAGUACAAGAUAUAACUUACAAGGAGACAUCCUGCACUACAAUGAUGCAGGUGUCAGCAGGUCAUUUGAAUUGUAUUUAGGUUUACCGCAACUUCAAGUAUAUUAACACAAAUGCAGCCAUGCAGAGAAAGUCACAUAUUUUACACUAUUAGAGAUGACCGGAAAGAACUCCAAGAUGAUGAAAGGCUCCGUAAGAUCACCAGAAGCAUCUGAGGGGUCUCAGGGAUUCCAGCGCAUCAACAAUUCCAAGAUAACCAGGAAAACAGCUUCAGCAUCUCAACGAAAACCCACUCCGUCCCAGAUUAGAAUGUUUAAAAGCAUCAAUUCAGGAAUUUGACAUUUCAUCACAGCACUUGUAAUAAUUCCCAGCGAAACGCUCAAUAGAUGACUGUCAUGUUUCACUCACAGGAAGAUCACUCGACUAUUUUGAACUUCCAUUUAUGCAUCCAUUAGUUAUUAUAGAUGCUUCACAGUUUUAGAUUAUAGGGAAGAUGUAAAAUGCCGAGACGCGGUUACAGCACAUGUGCAUUUCUUAACACUGUUCUUAGACGGAAUUUAUCACAGCACUAUAAAAUUUAUCUAGAUCGGACGUAUAUAAGAUGAUUAUGAUAUUUCACACAACGGGAAGACCACCAAGUUAUUUGAACUUCCGGCACCUUAUUUAUGCACCAGUUAGUUGUUAUAAAUGCAUCAUAGGUGAUUAUAAUUACAGGUAAUAUCACAUAAGGCCACCAAGCUAUCUUUCUCCUACAAACUUCGUUUAUUUGAGGAUAUAAUACAACACAGAUAUAUUGAGGAAAAAGGUGUAGAACGCAAAAGCGCAGUUACAAACACAAAGGCGUUCCUUGACACUGUUUUAAGGAGAAAGACCGUCAGCUAUCUUUUCAUCUGCGCGCACCUCGUUUAUAGGAGAUUCAUUACAUCACAAAUGUUAGCAGAUUGGGAAGACGAGGCAUGGGGCGCCAGAAUAUGGUUGCACAUCCAAGUAUAAAUCCUACGCUAUUCUAGGAUGAAGAAACAGUGUUUGUUCACACAUAAUCAGAUGACAAAGGUAGUUAAUUCAAACUACCCCUACUAAUAACUCAUCCAAUAAGGUCAAGGAUAAGGAGCAAACUGUUACUAAUUACUUUCGGUGAAGAUAUAAAUACUAUCCGACUUCAACGCAACAGUACCAAAAUACUAUAUUGCUUGACAGAGUCAGAAUCAAGCUCCCAAGAUAGAUUAGGGGCAAUGCAAACUUUUUUAACAAUUAUAACAAUCAGCUACACGCAUAUUAUAAGAUGCAUAAUUAAACAACUGGAUCGUAGCACAGAAGAAGCAGCAAACAUGAACAGUUCAUCCACUAUUAUUAACACUAGAUAUUUAAGAUUUAAUAUCUUUCUGACAGUGUCUCAACCAAUUUAGUUUAGCCUAAUUUAAUUAAAACUAAUUAAUGUAGUAAUAAUAAUAAUGUAUU